This 253-nucleotide unclassified non-coding RNA is filed under the name air metagenome. RNAcentral's name for it is "partial contains small subunit ribosomal RNA, internal transcribed spacer 1, and 5.8S ribosomal RNA". The stretch from base 1 to 46 matches the Rfam family "Eukaryotic small subunit ribosomal RNA", at positions 1786 to 1831 of the family's 1831-position model. The record is from RNAcentral.
AAGUCGUAACAAGGUUUCCGUAGGUGAACCUGCGGAAGGAUCAUUAUUGAAUUUCAAAGGGGUUGUUGCUGACUCCAUCCUGGAGUAUCUGUGCACGCCCCGACAUCCACACUUUCACCCCUUGUGCACUCUUGGUAGGACCGAAGAAAUUUGGUCCUAUGUCAUAUAACAUCCUUUGACGUUCCUUUGAACACAUUAUAUUAUUAUUGAAUAAUAACUUAUACAACUUUCAACAACGGAUCUCUUGGCUCUC